UUCACUCCCAGUUUUAGUGGAGCUGAAACUGUUUGGCUGAGCUCCAGCUCCAGGCCAAACAAGCCCUUACAUCCUCAUUCCAUUGAAUCAACGCCACCAAACGAGGGGAGGAUAGGCGUGGAGACGGACGGGGAUCGGAGUCGGAGAUGAGGCCGAGCCGACGCAGCAGCACGCGGUGGCGCUCCUCGACGGAGGUCGGCUCAGAGAUCCAGACCUCGUAGGCGGAGAACGUCGCGGACGUACGACGACACAGCUGCUGCGGCCGCCGCCGCCGGUGCUGCUGGUCAGUGGUCACGUCGUCAUCGGAGGCGGACGUGAACGAGCACGACGAUCCAGCGACUCGUACAACUCCUCAUCCUCCUCGCCAUUCCAGCGACGCAUGCCACCGACCUGUGCCACCGAAGCGCCCGCCUCGCCGAUCUCAUCCACGGUCGAUCGGUACAGAGUAAAUCAUUUUCUUUAUUGUAGGAGAUUACAGAUCAGUUUCCAUAUGUUGCCUAUAAGCAUGGAAGCUCUCUCAUUUCACCCAAGUUGUUCGUCUACAAGUAUGUCCCCUGCUUUGGUUCUUCAAUUAUAUUGUCACUUCAUUAGAUGUAGUACUUUGGAUGACAAUGAGAUUGGCUUAAAAUAAUUCUGCCUUUCAGUAGGCAGCACAGAACAGAUUUCCCCUCCAAUGUAUUAGGGGAGAGAUUAGAUUUUCUAAGCAGAAACGUUCUGAGAUUCGACCAGAAAACUGAAUUGAUAUUUUAGUAAUGUACUGUAGUUUGCUUAUUACUUUCCAAGAUUGCUCUGUGAUAUGUAAGGACAGCCUUACUUACUAGAGAUUGUGAUAUUUCAUAUGGUGGCAUGAGUGCUGAUAGAUAAUUGAUAUGUGCAUACACAAGCUUUUACACAUUAAUUUCCAUGUCAUUGCUAAAUAUAGAUUGAUGUGUGCAUUCCAGAUAGGUUGAUGGGAACAUAUUAAGGAGGUGCUUACGAUUCAUUGACUGCAAGUUAUUUAUCUAUCUAUUAUAUACUAAAAGUCUAUUAAACUUUCUACAAAAGCUCUUAUGCUACCACAUGGCGCUCUAAAUACGAUCUCAAGCUGACAUGUGGCGUUAAUAAAAUCCAUCCCUUAAUUUUCAUUUAACUCGGUGGGCCCUAUAUUCUAAGCCGUUGAUUUGGUUGAGAUUAAAACAAACCAGCGAGCUGUGCAUGAACCAAGCGCCUCUGGAACCGCUAUGACCCGGAUUCCCGUGCGGGCAGGGUGAUCGAUCAACAUGUUGAUCUCUGAUCGAUCGAUCGAUCAACCUGUACAGUGGACACCCUUCUCCUGCUCAUCCUAGCCUCCUUGCAAGACAUGUGGAAGCCCUGAUGAUUAAAUCACUAUUCGCUUUUGGUAUUCACACUCCUAUGCAUAUGUACAUGUGGUUUUUGCAUGCAUACUAUACGCUGAUUAGUUUGCUUGCCGAAUAGUAAUAAAUCCAACCCAUCUCUAACCUCUGCUUCACUCCCCUUUUCUCCCUUCUUUGUAUGUCUAGCAGUUUGAGAUAAAAUUUUAUGAUAAUAAAUUUCAAACAGCCAUAACUUCUAAAUUAUAUGUUUGAUUUUUAUCUAUUCAUCAUCUAUCUAUUAUAAACUAAAAGUACAUUAAACUUCCUAUAAACACUCUUAAGCCGUCACGUGGACUCCUACCAACGCUCCUAAACCGCCACAUGGUGCUCUAAUAAUUUAAAGAAAAUUCUAAGAAAAAUAUCUAACCGUCAAUUUUCAAUUUUCAUUUAAAGCGGUGGACCUAAUACUAUUGACCAUUGGAUCAAAACUAAAUCCCCCAUCACCCUUCUAUCCCGGACCCAUAUGCAUGUACGUGGACAAUUACAUCUGGUAGCUACAACGUUUAUUUAUUUGAUUGCUUGAUUUAUUAUUGACAUUAGGCAGGAUAAUUAUAUAUGGCCUCGGUGUGCUCGAUUGAUGCAUGCAUCCGGUUCCUGAUUUUUUUUCUAAAUACAUGAUAUAUAUGUACACCAUAAUUUAUCAUCAUAAUAAUUAUUAGAUCUAUUUCUCAUGGAGACUGAUUUAGGUGUGAACGUGCAAGCGCUAGGGAUUUACAAUAGGAGUGAUCUUGGUGCUGUAAAUAAACAAUUAUUUUAGACGGUCUACACGUUUAAUUUAAGAUACACUUGAGCAGCUUUAGUAUUUUUUUCAUCAAAUCAACAAUCCAAGACCAUGUUGGCUAUUUGCUUUACUAUUAUAUCAUAUUAUAUCUUAUAGGUCCUCCUCAUACAUAUAUUAUACAACCGUGUAUUUAUGAUACAUCGCAUGCCAAAAAUAAUUAUUACACAAUUAUAUUUAACCAUCCAAUCGUAUUCAUAAUAGGCUAUGUGGAGCCUCGCACACACUCUAAAUGAAAUGCUCACAGAUGGAUUGUCUCUCAAACUAUGCAAUCAUAUUACAAACCCAUGAAUGUAGUGUAGCCUCAUGUUGUACCCAAUACAUCUGUCAAUAAAUAAUGGGCGACCUAACUAACAUCAGUAAUCCAAUUAAAAAAAAGCACCUUGCUUACUUUAUAUUUAAUUUGGUAGGCAUGUUUUCUAAACAAAAUAAGUCUACCUUCUAUUUAGAUGAUGAAGAAGAUUAUAAAUAAUUGCUUAUAGAAAUUAUUUGAAUAUGAUAUGGUAUAAAGGUAACUAAUAAGUUAAAAUUAUAUAAGAAAUACUAACAAAAAAUGUGAAUAUAUCGUACUUUUAAAGUGUGGUAGAUUUUCUCCGGUGAUAUUCUAUCCUUAUAUGCUUCUCAAACCUAACCUACGAUGCAUGCCCGCGCAUUCGUGUUGAGUUGUAUAAAACAAAACAGAAAAUAGAAAAAUAAAUGCCAAUAUGAACUACAUUAAUUGAAAUAAUUGGUGAAAAUCUUAUAACUUAUUUUGCUUCAUUCUUUUUUCUUAGAUAUUAAUGAUUUUUCUUGCAUCGCAUCAAUUUUUUAAUUAAGUGCUUAGAUUAUUUUUUUUCUCUAUCGUACGCCACAGUAUUAUGAAUUUCUCUACAUAUUAUUGCAAAUAUAAGCAACAUACUAAGGUUACCGUACAUAAUCGGUUUAGAAGUUAUAUUUCUUACUAUUAAAUUUAAUUUUUAAGGGUCAAGUUGAUUAGGUUUUUUCUUUUUAAGAAAUACAAUAGAUCACAGAUAUCAUAGGGAAACAAGACCUAGGAUACAUGUAUAUCAUCUCUGUCCUAUUCAUAUGUAAGUAAUAAUUAAACUGCAUCAAUAUAAACCAAAUAAAAGAAUCGCUAGCUAGAUGGUACAAAUAAAACACCUUUGAUAGCAAUUAAAGUAUUUUUAAGAUUUGAUAGAAAAAAGUUAUCCCCUAAAGAAACACCUACCUUUUAAAUUACAUUUAAUUUGUAGAUAUGUUUUCUAAAUAUACUAAAUUUGUCUUAUUUUAGAUGAUGAAGAAGAUUAUAGAAAAUUGCUUAAAGGAAGAUUAAAUAUUAUAUGGCAUAAAGCUAACAAAUAGGUUAAAAAUUUAUCUAAGCAAUACAUCCUAUGAUACAUGCCCGCGCGAAUGCGCGGGCUACCUUCCUAGUUUAUGUAAUUUGAGGAUAAUAAAAGGAAUUGUCUAAACAUCUAGACAUGGUAGCAUCUAAUUUGCUUCAGGAAUUAAUUGUCUAAUUUGCUCGAUGCUUUGUUCUCUUUUCUGCCAGCAAAUAUACAAACCAAAAUGUUAAUUCAUUUCUCAAAGCUUUAUUUGGAGCAAGGUUAGAGUGCACAUUCUGUAUAUUUUGGUCAAUCAACAUAUUAUGACUGCCUUUUUUUUAUCAUCAUUUAUCUGAAAGGCUGAAACAUAUUAUGUUCAAAACACCUGGUAUUUUUUUACAUUUUUUAGUACAACAAGAAAAUCAAGUUCCUCAGCUUUUUGUGAAACACUUUGUCCUGAAUGAUGGAGGUAGCAUCAGUUAUGGAAUUGGUCUUUAGAAAAUGAUGGUGUAAGGUGAUCUGAUUUGUUCAUUGAGUAAUCGUGCACAUGUAAUGUGGCAUGCCUUCCUUUAUAAUUAUGAAGCCAUUCUUAACAACGGCCACAAGUUUCGAAAGCUGAUAGAACCAAACAGGAAUAUAAAAGUGAAUUUGGGCAAAAGUAUGGACUGAUUCUUCAUAUACUUGGAAUGGUUGGGGUGCAAUUCUUCAUAUACUAUGUGUGUAUUGUGACAUAUUAUUUACUGUUAAGACGGUGAUAAGGAUUUGAGAGGUGCUAGAGGGAGAAUACCUUCAAUACUCAGUUUAUUUCCUGACCUGUUAUGAUUAACCUGGAUUUCAAGCAUUAUACAAUAGGAGAAUAUUUGAAUAUUUUGUGGUGUCAGUGGUAGAAGAUAUACGUUGAGGACUUCAUUAAGAUUAAUCUAGACGAUAUAUUUGGACUACACCGUAUGUUUGUGUUCUCACUGGAAAAUACAAGCUCUAGUGCAGUUGUCAGGUAUGGUGACCUUUGAUUUGGAUUUAUUUAUGAUAUUUCCUCAACAAUCUAUUAGGUUUUGUGCUCUCACUAAUUUCUUAUCUAUCUCAAAAAUUUAACAGAUGGUUCCUUAAUUUGUAGUGAGUUUGGUUCCCGUCGCUGGUCCUAUGGUCCAAUUGUAUUUUCAGACAGUCCAGCUUGCAUGUGGAUUUGAGCGGAAUUUAUGUAGGCUAUGAUUGAAUGCCACAAUAUUGCAAUGUCAGGCAUAUAACACAGGGGAGUGCAGAAAUUCUGUUGAGAGAACUCAAUCUGAUAAUGUAUCUCUGAUGGUACAAAUAAAUUGUAGUCAUAUGAGUUAUUCCAAGCAACUGACUUUGAUUAAAGAUGCAUCAACUGAGCAUUGUUAGCAAUACAAAAUUACCUGAUUGGCAAUUAUGAAUGCAUCCUGAGCAUCACCUUCAGUAUAUGGAGGUUCAUUUGUUAGUCAUUCAAGCGGCUCUUGCUUAUAACAGUUGUUUAUCUUCAAGUUCCAAUUUUUUUAUCCCUAAUGUCUCAUUGUUUUUUAGAAUUAUUGGUAAAUCUUGUACAUAAAAGUUAUAGUCUUUGGAAAAAAUUUGUAGUAAGCAAGGCUGUUUCUGA
This is a non-coding RNA of Oryza sativa Japonica Group (Japanese rice), 5064 nucleotides long. Lineage: Eukaryota; Viridiplantae; Streptophyta; Magnoliopsida; Poales; Poaceae. The record is from RefSeq and is a predicted model, not a curated record.